GAUGAACGCUGGCGGCGUGCCUAAUACAUGCAAGUCGAGCGAACAGAUUAGGAGUUUGCUCCUCCGACGUUAGCGGCGGACGGGUGAGUAACACGUGGAUAACCUACCUAUAAGACUGGGAUAACUUCGGGAAACCGGAGCUAUUACCGUAGAAUAUAGUGAACCGCAUUGUUCAAUAGUGAAAUAUGGUUUUGCUGUCACUUAUAGAUGUAUCCGCGCCGCAUUAGCUAGUUGGUAAGGUAACGGCUUACCAAGUCAACGAUGGGUAGCCGACGGGAGAGAGGGAUAGGCGACACUGGAGCGGAGACAGGGACAAGACGCCUGCGGGAGGCAGCAGAAGGGAAUGUGCCGCAGUGGGCGAAAGUCUGACGGAACAGGGCGGAGCGAGUGAUGAAGGUGCCGGGAGCGUGAAACUCUGUUAUUAGUGAAGAACAAAUGUGUAAGUAAAUGUGCACGUCUUGACGGUACCUGGAGAGAAAGCACCGGCUAACUACGUG
This 497-nucleotide ribosomal RNA is filed under the name uncultured bacterium. RNAcentral's name for it is "partial 16S ribosomal RNA". It matches the Rfam family "Bacterial small subunit ribosomal RNA", at positions 28 to 507 of the family's 1533-position model. The record is from RNAcentral.